RNAcentral lists this ribosomal RNA (46 nucleotides) under Mimosa glutinosa. RNAcentral describes it as "partial 28S ribosomal RNA". The record is from RNAcentral. Lineage: Eukaryota; Viridiplantae; Streptophyta; Magnoliopsida; Fabales; Fabaceae.
CAGGUCAGGCGGGGCCACCCGCUGAGUUAAGCAUAUCAAUAAGCGG